AUGCAGCACAUCUUCUCCUUCGGGCUGGCAACUGGGAAGCAUGCCAUGGGCUCGGGGGAGCCUCUUGGUUCUCCCAUGCCUGACUUCCCUGGGACCCUGGACGUCGAGAUCCUUGAUGGCCCUGACAAGCCCGCUGCGAAGCCCUUCGACAAGCCAUUUGACCCCGUUGAUAGAAAGAGGAAGAGAGGAGGCCUGAUGGAGGAGGAGAUCAAUGUCUUCCGCAGCACGACUGAGGCGGUGAAGGAGGUGGCAACAGCCAUCAGGGAGUGCAAGCCCCUCGACGUCCACCCUAACCUGUAUGGCGCUGUCAUGACCCAGGGUGGCUUCAGCGACGAGGCUCUCAUGGCAGCUCUCAGCCACCUGCUUGACAACAAGGCCCAUGGUGUUGGGUUCGUUGCCAUGGUCGACGCUCACAGGAUGAUGUGGCUCAGGAGCUGGCUGGGCAAGCACUACUACUAG
Molecule: ribosomal RNA, 459 nt
Filed under: Triticum aestivum (bread wheat)
Lineage: Eukaryota; Viridiplantae; Streptophyta; Magnoliopsida; Poales; Poaceae
Description: partial small subunit ribosomal RNA
Source: RNAcentral